GAUGAACGCUGGCGGCGUGCCUAAUACAUGCAAGUCGAGCGAACAGACGAGGAGCUUGCUCCUCUGACGUUAGCGGCGGACGGGUGAGUAACACGAGGAUAACCUACCUAUAAGACUGGGAUAACUUCGGGAAACCGGAGCUAAUACCGGAUAAUAUAUUGAACCGCAUGGUUCAUUAGUGAAAGACGGUUUUGCUGUCACUUAUAGAUGGAUCCGCGCCGCAUUAGCUAGUUGGUAAGGUAACGGCGUACCAAGGCAACGAUGCGUAGCCGACCUGAGAGGGUGAUCGGCCACACUGGAACUGAGACACGGUCCAGACUCCUACGGGAGGCAGCAGUAGGGAAUCUUCCGCAAUGGGCGAAAGCCUGACGGAGCAACGCCGCGUGAGUGAUGAAGGUCUUCGGAUCGUAAAACUCUGUUAUUUGGGAAGAACAAAUGUGUAAGUAACUAUGCACGUCUUGACGGUACCUAAUCAGAAAGCCCCGGCUAACUACGUG
This 497-nucleotide ribosomal RNA is filed under the name uncultured bacterium. RNAcentral's name for it is "partial 16S ribosomal RNA". It matches the Rfam family "Bacterial small subunit ribosomal RNA", at positions 28 to 507 of the family's 1533-position model. The record is from RNAcentral.